Long non-coding RNA from Salvia hispanica, 622 nucleotides. RefSeq lists it as uncharacterized. The record is from RefSeq and is a predicted model, not a curated record. NCBI's taxonomy places the organism in Eukaryota, Viridiplantae, Streptophyta, Magnoliopsida, Lamiales, Lamiaceae.
CUGACUAGUCGAGUGAUGUUAUUUUCCAGAGAUGGAGGUGGCGGAGAUAGAAAAUUGUUUUAUGACGGCAGGAGAGUCAAGGAAAGGAUCAGAUACCUUGUGCUAAGUCUGCUAAUUGAAAGGGAGAUUGAUGGAGCAAACUGGCUGGCUAGUUGCUUCAUCAGCUCUUAACUUUAUUUCGAACUGCUGUUUUAAAGGUUUGGAGACUGGGAAGCAGAAAAAUGGUUGCGCGAGUGAGGGAGUACACUACUCGUGACCCUAGGCAUCCACUACUUGUUAAUUUGAGAAUGGAGAAUAGAUAGCUGCUUCCAAAGAGACUGCUUUGCUUAUCAAGUUUGUAGAUGAUCAGAUGGGAGAACUUGUCUUUCCAAGUGGAAGUCUGACUUACUAUGCGGCCAUCGCCAUGCGUUGGACGUUGGAAAGGGGCUUUUUCUCGAUUAAGCGAAUCAUGGAGGGGUCGCAUGGCGCAUGGUUGGUGUGGGUGGUCUCUUCUUUUUUUGUGACAUUGCCAGCAGGGAAAUUAUAAAGUAGCUUCUCUUUUAUACACUUGAAAUUAGCAAUGAUCAUGUGGAGUUUUUCUUUACAAUCCAUUAUUCCAUAAAUAUUGCAAUAAAAUUGGACU